GGGCCCGCACAAGCGGCGGAGCAUGCGGCUUAAUUCGAUGCGACGCGAAGAACCUUACCUGGGCUUGACAUGCAGGGCAAAGCCGGUGAAAGCCGGCGCUCUACGGAGCCUGCACAGGUGGUGCAUGGCUGUCGUCAGCUCGUGCCGUGAGGUGUUGCCUUAAGUGGCGCAACGAGCGCAACCCUUGUCCUUAGUUGCCAGCGGGUAAAGCCGGGAACUCUAGGGAGACUGCCGGUGCCAAACCGGAGGAAGGUGGGGAUGACGUCAAGUCAUCAUGCCCCUUAUGUCCAGGGCUGCACGCAUGCUACAAUGCGCGGUACAAAGGGCUGCGAUCCCGUAAGGGGGAGCGAAUCCCAAAAAGCCGCGCUCAGUUCGGAUCGGGGUCUGCAACCCGACCCCGUGAAGUCGGAGUCGCUAGUAAUCGCAGAUCAGCAAUGCUGCGGUGAAUACGUUCCCGGGCCUU
RNAcentral lists this ribosomal RNA (463 nucleotides) under uncultured bacterium. Its description in RNAcentral is "bacterial SSU rRNA". It matches the Rfam family "Bacterial small subunit ribosomal RNA", at positions 917 to 1382 of the family's 1533-position model. The record is from RNAcentral.